AUGGGGUCAGGGCGGGCGAGGAGCCGCGCGGAGCGGCGGGGAAUGGACGCGUGGAGGCGGAGGUCACUUACCGUGUCCUGGCCGGGCCGCCGCUGUCCUGGCCCCAGUUCCGCAAGGCCUGAAAUAGUCGCAGACUGUGCCCCGCCCCGCCUGCCCCGCCCCCCGCAACCGCGGAAAACCCGCGGGCGGAGGCCAAUGCCCAGUGCGGCCCGGCUGUGUCUCUGCGUCCCGGGGGCUGGGCGCGCCCGGCCUGCCCAGCGGGGGAUGCGGGGCGCGGUCACUUCCUCCCAGCAGCCGGGCAGGGGCGGGGGGCUGGCCGCACGUCGCAUGGUAUGUGGAGUUCGGGAGUCCGAAGGACGGGGCUGUCAGGCGCGGGGCCAUUGUCGGACGACGGCUCCUGAUAGGCCGCCUGGAAGGGGCGCGCUUGGCCGCGUUCCUGCGUCACAGACUGGCUCCAGCUGCGGGAGCGCCACUCCCACUCCAACUCCCCCAGCCGCCCCUCUAAAGUGUUCCGGUAUCACCGCGGCCACAAGGACACAGGGCACGGGGGCUUCCCGGAGGAGGCCCCCUAAGGGGAAGGGGGCUACACGGCUGGCCAGAGUGCUGGCCGCGCGGCUGUGCACAGGACCUGGAGCCCCUCCCGUCGUCAAGCCUUGCUUGAAAUGCGUAAAUGCGGAAAGGGCUAGGGCUGGACCCACAGGCUGCUGGAACAGGCAGAAGGGGAGGGGUCCAAAGCCCAGACUCCAGGGCCUCGUCUUAAUCAUCAAGCCGACUUUGCCCACUCCGCGCAGGCCUCCGUUUCCAGGCCUGUUUCCCCAUGCAAACUGUCUCUCAGGGUCUGUCUUGGGAGAUGUGGAGGUGGGGCAUGUGGGGAGGAUGGAAGGGGGCUGUGAAGGGAACCCACUGGAGAUUAACUUCCUUCCUUAUUUCACACGCUAGGAAUUUCUGCCCUCUGGAAAGGCCCCCGUCAUUUAGGAAUUUCCCGCUGGGCACGGGCUUCCCUCCUGCCUCACUGGGGCCUCUGCUCCUCCCCUCUUUUGUUUGGCCUCUUUCCCCGCCCCCUGCUCACUCUGCUAUUCCCUCUCCAGCCUAGCAACAGGUCUUCCAGGACCAGGGGGGCCAGCGGAGUGGGGGCGGUGUGGGUUCAGGGUGCCCUGGGAACUGAGAACUUCCUCUUCAAGGGUGGUGGCCAAGCGCCAGGUUUGCACUUGGAUUGCCAUCCAUCCUGUCUCUGGGGAACCUGUGGGGGAGCGGAUGCAGGAGGCCGCCAGGAUGGGGCGUUAAGGCUGCCAACCCCACCCCUUCUCUCCUAGGGCUCCAGGGAUGACAUUUUUCAGAUGAGUCCACAGAGCCACAGUGUCCUGGGGCUGGGAGGGUCCUUCCAUCGGCACUGCACAGAUGGAAUUCAUCCACACAGGGGCGAUGGGGAAACCGCCUGAGGGGCCCUGGCCCGUGGCUGCCUUCAUGGCUGGCUGCUGUGGCCUCAUUGUGCAAUCCCCACAAGACUCUCCUGCCAGACUCUGUUCCCCCACCCCACCCCACCCCACCUCCCCUCCCAGCCCCAAGCAGAUCGGGAAAUUGCUUGGAAGUCUGUAUCUGCCAGGAGGGCGUUGUCAGGCCUUAGGCCCUACUGUCCCCUUGGAGGCAGCCCCUGGUCUGCACAGGCUUUGCAGGGCUGAGGAGGGGCUGCCACCCUUGUCACCCACUGACGGCAGUGGCCCACCCAGAGCACCGGCCGGGGAUUGGGAAAUGAGGCUGCUGCCUUGGACUUUUGUCUGCACCAGUCACUCCCCUUCUCUAAGCUCAGGCAUGAGGGUCAAUGGUCACAUGCGUGAAGUUCUCAAGACAAAGAAAGUCUUCUGAAAAUGGGGCAGCAUGGAGGGCCAAGGGAUGACAGCCAAUGGG
Molecule: long non-coding RNA, 1905 nt
Organism: Macaca mulatta (Rhesus monkey)
Lineage: Eukaryota; Metazoa; Chordata; Mammalia; Primates; Cercopithecidae
Source: Ensembl